UACGUAGGUGACGAGCGUUGUUCGGAAUUAUUGGGCGUAAAGGGUUCGUAGGAUGUUUAUUAAGAUUGGUGUGAAAUCCCAAGGCUCAACCUUGGAACUGCAUUGAUUACUGAUGAACUAGAGUGUCGUAGAGGAAAGCGGAAUUCCAGGUGUAGCGGUGGAAUGCGUAGAUAUCUGGAAGAACACCGACAGCGAAGGCAGCUUUCUGGGCGACAACUGACUCUGAGGAACGAAAGCAUGGGGAGCAAACAGG
This 253-nucleotide ribosomal RNA is filed under the name uncultured bacterium. Its description in RNAcentral is "partial 16S ribosomal RNA". It matches the Rfam family "Bacterial small subunit ribosomal RNA", at positions 524 to 776 of the family's 1533-position model. The record is from RNAcentral.